This 495-nucleotide ribosomal RNA is filed under the name uncultured bacterium. RNAcentral describes it as "partial 16S ribosomal RNA". The record is from RNAcentral.
UACCUUGUUACGACUUCACCCCAGUUACCGGCUCCACCUUCGGCAGCUCCUUCCUUUCGGUUAGGUCACUGACUUCGGGCAUUUCCGACUCCCAUGGUGUGACGGGCGGUGUGUACAAGACCCGGGAACGUAUUCACCGCGACAUUCUGAUUCGCGAUUACUAGCGAUUCCAGCUUCAUGUAGUCGAGUUGCAGACUACAAUCCGAACUGGGACGUUAUUUUUGGGAUUUGCUCAACGUCACCGUCUCGCUUCCCUUUGUUUACGCCAUUGUAGCACGUGUGUAGCCCUGAUCAUAAGGGGCAUGAUGAUUUGACGUCAUCCCCGCCUUCCUCCCGGUUAUCCCGGGCAGUCUCUCCAGAGUGCCCAGCUCUACCUGCUGGCUACUGGAAAUAGGGGUUGCGCUCGUUGCGGGACUUAACCCAACAUCUCACGACACGAGCUGACGACAACCAUGCACCACCUGUCUCCAAUGCCCCGAAAGGAAAGUGACUUUG